This 497-nucleotide ribosomal RNA is filed under the name uncultured bacterium. RNAcentral describes it as "partial 16S ribosomal RNA". It matches the Rfam family "Bacterial small subunit ribosomal RNA", at positions 28 to 507 of the family's 1533-position model. The record is from RNAcentral.
GAUGAACGCUGGCGGCGUGCCUAAUACAUGCAAGUCGAGCGAACGGACGAGAAGCUUGCUUCUCUGAUGUUAGCGGCGGACGGGUGAGUAACACGUGGAUAACCUACCUAUAAGACUGGGAUAACUUCGGGAAACCGGAGCUAAUACCGGAUAAUAUUUUGAACCGCAUGGUUCAAAAGUGAAAGACGGUCUUGCUGUCACUUAUAGAUGGAUCCGCGCUGCAUUAGCUAGUUGGUAAGGUAACGGCUUACCAAGGCAACGAUGCAUAGCCGACCUGAGAGGGUGAUCGGCCACACUUGAACUGAGACACGGUCCAGACUCCUACGGGAGGCAGCAGUAGGGAAUCUUCCGCAAUGGGCGAAAGCCUGACGGAGCAACGCCGCGUGAGUGAUGAAGGUCUUCGGAUCGUAAAACUCUGUUAUUAGGGAAGAACAUAUGUGUAAGUAACUGUGCACAUCUUGACGGUACCUAAUCAGAAAGCCACGGCUAGCUACGUG